RNAcentral lists this ribosomal RNA (465 nucleotides) under uncultured bacterium. Its description in RNAcentral is "partial 16S ribosomal RNA". It matches the Rfam family "Bacterial small subunit ribosomal RNA", at positions 28 to 507 of the family's 1533-position model. The record is from RNAcentral.
GACGAACGCUGGCGGCGUGCUUAACACAUGCAAGUCGAACGGAAAGGCCCUGCUUGCAGGGUACUCGAGUGGCGAACGGGUGAGUAACACGUGGGUGAUCUGCCCUGCACUUCGUGAUAAGCCUGGGAAACUGGGUCUAAUACCGGAUAGGAGCCAUUUUUAGUGUGAUGGUUGGAAAGUUUUUUCGGUGUAGGAUGAGCUCGCGGCCUAUCUGCUUGUUGGUGGGGUAAUGGCCUACCAAGGCGGCGGCGGGUAGCCGGCCUGAGGGGGUGGACGGCCACAUUGGGGCUGAGGUACGGGCCAGAAUCCUACGGGGGGCAGCAGUGGGGAAUAUUGCACAAUGGGCGCGAGCCUGAUGCAGCGACGCCGCGGGGGGGAAGACGGGCUUCGGGUUGGAAACCCCUUUCGCUAGGGACGAAGCUUUUUGUGACGGUACCUAGAUAAGAAGCACCGGCUAACUACGUG